UGGGGAGAUCCCUUUCUCCUUUCAAAAAACUGUGUUUUACUUUGAUUUUUUUCCUAGGGCCUAUAGAUACCAGAUCUGAGGUCUAAGUUAUUUUAGAACUAUCCUCUCAAACUUUCCUUUUCUGUCAGGAUGAUAUGUUUUGUUUUAAGGUGAGUUUCAGGUGGCUUGGGCUUUUAGCUGGGGAUGACCUUGAACUCCUGGUUUUACUGGCUUCAUUUCCCAAGUGCUGGGAUUACAGGUACACACCACCAACCCCAACUUCAUAGUGUGUUUUAAUUCUUUUUUGUCUGUGUUUUUGGGAGGAAGUUUUAUAAUAGUUCAAGCUCGAGCUUAUGAUUCUCCUAGCUCUUCCUCCUACUGACUAGAAUUUUAUGGGUCUGUGCCAUCUCACCUGGCAUUACUUUCAUUCUUUAAGUUGUCCUUUUUUCACAUGAAAUCCAUAUUCACUUUCUGCUGUAGUCAAUCUUAUUUUCUGUACCUUGUCUGGGUUUCUUUUUCUUCUGAGACAGAAUUUCCUCUGUGUGACUUCUCUGGAAGUCACUCUAGGUUAGGCUGGCCUUGGAAGGUGUGGGCCACCACCACCCUAUAAGACGGGUCUUGCUGUGUGUACCUGGAGCCUGUUUUGUUGACCAUGCUAAGCAUGAACUUGAGGUCUCUCAUCGUAGCCUUCCACAUGCUAGGCAAGUAUCCUUCCACUGAAGUGCUCCAGGCAGCCCACUUCCAGUCUCUUCCUUCUUUUUUCCUUCCCCUUUCUCCCUUUUUCAUCUUUUUUUUUAAGAUUUAUUCAUUUAUUAUAUAUAAGUACACUGUAGCUGUUUUCAGAUACACCAGAAGAGGGCGUCAGAUCUCUUUACAGAUGGUUGUGAGCCACCAUGUGGUUGCUGGGAAUUGAACUCAGGACCUCUGGAAGAGUAGUCGGGUGCUCUUAACCACUGAGCCAUCUCUCCAGCCCUCCCUUUUUCAUUUUUAAAAACAUUUCUCCCCAUAUGGAAACAGGAUUUUUAUACUUUGAUAGCUCAGGCUGGUCUGUAUCUUAGCAUAUAGCCUAAGCUGACCUCCAAUUCUCAGAUCCUCCUGCCUCAGGCUCCCACUAAACAGCCAAAGUAGGUUGUAUCUGGAGCAAAAUUCAGGUUUAGAUUUUCCCAUUAUAAGGAAAGAAUAGGUUGGGGAUUUAGCUCAGUGGUAGAGCGCUUGCCUAGGAAGCGCAAGGCCCUGGGUUCGGUCCCCAGCUCCAAAA
This 1237-nucleotide long non-coding RNA is filed under the name Rattus norvegicus (Norway rat). RNAcentral describes it as "long non-coding RNA NONRATT004451". The stretch from base 1166 to 1234 matches the Rfam family "tRNA". Lineage: Eukaryota; Metazoa; Chordata; Mammalia; Rodentia; Muridae. The record is from RNAcentral.